This 102-nucleotide non-coding RNA is filed under the name Bacillus sp. (in: firmicutes). RNAcentral's name for it is "Bacillus sp. Guanine sequence". It matches the Rfam family "Purine riboswitch aptamer". From Rfam's summary of the family: Riboswitches are metabolite binding domains within certain messenger RNAs that serve as precision sensors for their corresponding targets. Allosteric rearrangement of mRNA structure is mediated by ligand binding, and this results in modulation of gene expression. Lineage: Bacteria; Bacillati; Bacillota; Bacilli; Caryophanales; Bacillaceae. RNAcentral also lists the same sequence under 1 other name. The record is from RNAcentral.
AAAUCAACUUCAUACAAUCCUUAUAUAUUUUUGGAAAUAUGGUCCAAAAGUCUCUACCUGGCAUCCGUAAAGUGCCGGACUAUAAGGAAAGUUAGAUCGCCG